UAUGGUCAUUCUAUAUUUGCAUGAGAGUCAUACCUUUAUGAUUUUUUAAAAGCAUACUUUGAUGAAUGGUUGAAUGGAAGACUGGAAACUAGUGAGACGACCACAACGAGGACUAGAGGAGCAGAGGUGACAAACUUUAUUCACAUCACAGUUCUGCCCUGCGCUAUUCCUGGAGCUCAUCCUGAGAGAGCUGCUGGGGCAGCACCGUGAGAUUCUGACAUCCAAGAGCAGUAG
Molecule: long non-coding RNA, 234 nt
Filed under: Rhinolophus ferrumequinum (greater horseshoe bat)
Lineage: Eukaryota; Metazoa; Chordata; Mammalia; Chiroptera; Rhinolophidae
Description: lncRNA (ENSRFEG00010015826.1)
Source: RNAcentral